AAAAAGGGUCUCCCGUUGGUGACCAGCGGAGGGAUCAUUA
RNAcentral lists this ribosomal RNA (40 nucleotides) under Simplicillium lamellicola. Its description in RNAcentral is "partial 18S ribosomal RNA". Lineage: Eukaryota; Fungi; Ascomycota; Sordariomycetes; Hypocreales; Cordycipitaceae. The record is from RNAcentral.